CACAGCAAGUGUCGCGAAUAUCUUCCAGUGAUCGGCCGUAGAUCUGGUCGACAAUGCACGACGGCGACGGCAGGAACUGUGUCGCAUAGCAACAAAUGCGAACAAUGAGAGUUGCAAAAUCGACAUCAGACACUGCCAUUGGAUUACCCCGCUUUGCCCACCAUUUCUGAUAAUCGGCUAAGAAGCUGGGAGAAUGGAUAACUUGCUUCAUCCUAGACAAAUCAAAUAAGAGGGAGGGAUUAAAAUUAGAAUAAAAUAGAUCUGAGCUGUCUUUCCAAAGAGUUCGCCCUCAUCAACCUUACCAAUUCAGCUCACUGACAAAGUACUGCACA
RNAcentral lists this small RNA (332 nucleotides) under Histoplasma capsulatum. RNAcentral's name for it is "hypothetical RNA". The record is from RNAcentral. RNAcentral also lists the same sequence under 1 other name. Lineage: Eukaryota; Fungi; Ascomycota; Eurotiomycetes; Onygenales; Ajellomycetaceae.